GACGAACGCUGGCGGCGUGCUUAACACAUGCAAGUCGAACGGAAAGGCCCUGCUUUUGUGGGGUGCUCGAGUGGCGAACGGGUGAGUAACACGUGAGUAACCUGCCCUUGACUUUGGGAUAACUUCAGGAAACUGGGGCUAAUACCGGAUAGGAGCUCCUGCUGCAUGGUGGGGGUUGGAAAGUUUCGGCGGUUGGGGAUGGACUCGCGGCUUAUCAGCUUGUUGGUGGGGUAGUGGCUUACCUAGGCUUUGACGGGUAGCCGGCCUGAGAGGGUGACCGGCCACAUUGGGACUGAGAGACGGCCCAGACUCCUACGGGAGGCAGCAGUGGGGAAUAUAGCACAAUGGGCGGAAGCCUGAUGCAGCAACGCCGCGUGCGGGAUGACGGCCUUCGGGUUGUAAACCGCUUUCGCCUGUGACGAAGCGUGAGUGACGGUAAUGGGUAAAGAAGCACCGGCUAACUACGU
Molecule: ribosomal RNA, 467 nt
Filed under: uncultured bacterium
Lineage: Bacteria
Description: partial 16S ribosomal RNA
Rfam family: Bacterial small subunit ribosomal RNA
Source: RNAcentral